AUACGUAGGGGGCAAGCGUUAUCCGGAUUUACUGGGCGUAAAGGGUGCGUAGGUGGUUUCUUAAGUCAGGAGUGAAAGGCUACGGCUCAACCGUAGUAAGCUCUUGAAACUGUUUAUCUUGAGUAUCGGAGAGGCAGGCGGAAUUCCUAGUGUAGCGGUGAAAUGCGUAGAUAUUAGGAGGAACACCAGUGGCGAAGGCGGCCUGCUGGACGACAACUGACACUGAGGCGCGAAAGCGUGGGGAGC
RNAcentral lists this ribosomal RNA (246 nucleotides) under uncultured bacterium. Its description in RNAcentral is "partial 16S ribosomal RNA". It matches the Rfam family "Bacterial small subunit ribosomal RNA", at positions 523 to 769 of the family's 1533-position model. The record is from RNAcentral.